GUCCACGCCCUAAACGAUGGCAACUGGGUGUCGGGGAAGCGAUUCCUUGGUACCGUAGCUAACGCGUGAAGUUGCCCGCCUGGGGAGUACGGCCGCAAGGUUAAAACUCAAAGGAAUUGACGGGGACCCGCACAAGCGGUGGAUGAUGUGGAUUAAUUCGAUGCAACGCGAACAACCUUACCUACCCUUGACAUGUCUGGAAGCCUGGUGAGAGCUGGGGUGUGCCCGAAAGGGAACCGGAACACAGGUGCUGCAUGGCUGUCGU
This 265-nucleotide ribosomal RNA is filed under the name uncultured bacterium. RNAcentral describes it as "partial 16S ribosomal RNA". It matches the Rfam family "Bacterial small subunit ribosomal RNA", at positions 793 to 1055 of the family's 1533-position model. The record is from RNAcentral.